Molecule: ribosomal RNA, 253 nt
Filed under: uncultured bacterium
Lineage: Bacteria
Description: partial 16S ribosomal RNA
Rfam family: Bacterial small subunit ribosomal RNA
Source: RNAcentral
UACGUAGGGGCCAAGCGUUGUCCGGAUUUAUUGGGCGUAAAGAGCGCGCAGGCGGUCGUUCAAGUCGAGUGUGAAAGCCCCCGGCUCAACUGGGGAGGGUCACUCGAUACUGAUCGACUUGAAGGCAGGAGAGGGAAGCGGAAUUCCCGGUGUAGUGGUGAAAUGCGUAGAUAUCGGGAGGAACACCAGUGGCGAAGGCGGCUUCCUGGCCUGUUCUUGACGCUGAGGCGCGAAAGCUAGGGGAGCAAACGGG